UCACUUGGGCAGUGCACAUAACUAAACGUUGGAAUGACAGAGAAGAUUAGUGUGGCCCCUGUGUAAGGAUGACACACAAAUUUAUGUAGAUGCAGAAAAGAAA
RNAcentral lists this small nuclear RNA (103 nucleotides) under Vulpes vulpes (red fox). The record is from RNAcentral. Lineage: Eukaryota; Metazoa; Chordata; Mammalia; Carnivora; Canidae.